This 1026-nucleotide ribosomal RNA is filed under the name Salmonella enterica subsp. enterica serovar Derby. Its description in RNAcentral is "partial 23S ribosomal RNA". It matches the Rfam family "Bacterial large subunit ribosomal RNA", at positions 1154 to 2141 of the family's 2925-position model. The record is from RNAcentral. RNAcentral also lists the same sequence under 1 other name. Lineage: Bacteria; Pseudomonadati; Pseudomonadota; Gammaproteobacteria; Enterobacterales; Enterobacteriaceae.
CGUAUCACUUAAAGCGAUUCAGCGGGUUACGAUUGACGGAGCGAAGCGACGUCAAAGCGUAUACAAAGUCGAGUCGGUUUAAGGAUACGUUCGUUGGGUAGGGGAGCGUUCUGUAAGCCUGUGAAGGUGUGUCGUGAGGCAUGCUGGAGGUAUCAGAAGUGCGAAUGCUGACAUAAGUAACGAUAAAGCGGGUGAAAAGCCCGCUCGCCGGAAGACCAAGGGUUCCUGUCCAACGUUAAUCGGGGCAGGGUGAGUCGACCCCUAAGGCGAGGCCGAAAGGCGUAGUCGAUGGGAAACGGGUUAAUAUUCCCGUACUUGGUGUUACUGCGAAGGGGGGACGGAGAAGGCUAUGUUGGCCGGGCGACGGUUGUCCCGGUUUAAGCGUGUAGGCUGGUUUUCCAGGCAAAUCCGGAAAAUCAAGGCUGAGGCGUGAUGACGAGGCACUACGGUGCUGAAGCAACAAAUGCCCUGCUUCCAGGAAAAGCCUCUAAGCAUCAGGUAACAUCAAAUCGUACCCCAAACCGACACAGGUGGUCAGGUAGAGAAUACCAAGGCGCUUGAGAGAACUCGGGUGAAGGAACUAGGCAAAAUGGUGCCGUAACUUCGGGAGAAGGCACGCUGACACGUAGGUGAAGUGAUUUACUCAUGGAGCUGAAGUCAGUCGAAGAUACCAGCUGGCUGCAACUGUUUAUUAAAAACACAGCACUGUGCAAACACGAAAGUGGACGUAUACGGUGUGACGCCUGCCCGGUGCCGGAAGGUUAAUUGAUGGGGUCAGCGCAAGCGAAGCUCCUGAUCGAAGCCCCGGUAAACGGCGGCCGUAACUAUAACGGUCCUAAGGUAGCGAAAUUCCUUGUCGGGUAAGUUCCGACCUGCACGAAUGGCGUAAUGAUGGCCAGGCUGUCUCCACCCGAGACUCAGUGAAAUUGAACUCGCUGUGAAGAUGCAGUGUACCCGCGGCAAGACGGAAAGACCCCGUGAACCUUUACUAUAGCUUGACACUGAACAUUGAGCCUUGAUGUGUAG